Molecule: ribosomal RNA, 627 nt
Filed under: uncultured bacterium
Lineage: Bacteria
Description: bacterial SSU rRNA
Rfam family: Bacterial small subunit ribosomal RNA
Source: RNAcentral
UCAGGAGGAGCCUGCGUCCCAUCAGCUAGUUGGUAGGGUAACGGCCUACCAAGGCUAUGACGGGUAGGGGACCUGAGAGGGUGGCCCCCCACAAUGGAACUGAAACACGGUCCAUACACCUACGGGUGGCAGCAGUAGGGAAUAUUAGAAAUGGACGAAAGUCUGAUCUAGCGACACCGCGUGUGCGAAGAAGGCCUUCGGGUUGUAAAGCACUUUUUGGAAGGAAUAGGAAGGAAGGUACUUCCAGAAUAAGUCUCGGCUAACUACGUGCCAGCAGCCGCGGUAACACGUAGGAGGCGAACGUUAUCCGGAUUUACUGGGCGUAAAGCGCGUGUAGGUGGUUUUGUAAGUAGGGCGUGAAAGCUCCCGGCUCAACUGGGAGAGGCCGUUCUAAACUACAGAGCUAGAGGAUGGUAGAGGGAGGUGGAAUUCCAGGUGUAGCGGUGGAAUGCGCAGAUAUCUGGAGGAACACCAGUGGCGAAGGCGGCCUCCUGGACCAUUCCUGACACUCAGACGCGAAAGCUAGGGUAGCAAACGGGAUUAGAGACCCCGGUAGUCCUAGCCCUAAACGAUGUAGACUAGACGUCGGCGGUGUAAUAACUGUCGGUGUCCAAGCUAACGCGAUAA